CAUCGUGAUGAGAAGGAACGUUCGUGUGGGGAAGUAUUUCCUCGGCGGACCGCUCAAUCGUGGCGGGAUCUCAUCACAAACUCUAACUCGCCCCCUCCGGAACUAAACAUGUUAAAGCGGCGGUGGAAAACCUUGGAAACUCCUCUCUGACAGAGCGUGAAUGGAAGCUAGCUGGAUUAUCUUAGCUAAUACUUAGCAAAGCAUACUUGUGUGGCUGUGUGUGUGCGACUCAGGCUGUUUAAUGUAAGUGAGCGUUUUACAAUGCACGCUAACGAUGUGCAGGCUCUGAGUUAAAGGGAUAGUUUGGAUUUUUUGGCAUGAAGUUGUAUGACAUCCCCAUCAGUAGUGGACUGUAUCAACAGUGACUUAACCCCCAUUUGGUCCCACGGGUUCCGUGAUGAGGAACGUAGUUCUGCUUAGUUGCUGGGUCAUUUAAGUAAAGAGUUUGGCUUCUCAAAACAAUAUGCGUUCAAAAGAGCAAUACAUUUGCAUUAUAAAAAUGCCUCCUCAAGAAAAAUCAGACCUCACUAAUCGCUUGGCUUUAUGUUUGUCUCCCGCCGUGUGCCUGCGCUCUGUCGCCUCUCCAUUUGCUUGUAUGUGAUGAAGACGCUCGCAGUAGUAGUGUUCUUUACUAAGUCCAACAAUACCUCCAGUGCCAAGCCAGAUGUUGUUGUUUCUAGGAAAAGACUGCAGAUCGUAUCAGAAAACAAAUAUCUGGGUGUCAAAAUUGACACAAAACUGUCAUUUACAGUGGUGUGAAAAAGUGUUUGCCCCCUUCCUUAUGUUUUUUUGCAUGUUUGUCACACUUAAAUGUUUCAGACCAUCAAACAAAUUUAAGUAUAAGUCAAUGACAACACAAAUGAAGACAACAUGCAGUUUUGAAAUGAAACUUUUUAUUAUUAAGAGAGAAAGAAAUCCAAACCUACAUGGCCCUGUGUGAAAAAGUGUCUAUUAGUCUGGAGGAAAAGGUUAUAAAGCCAUUUGUAAAGCUUAAGGACUCCAGCAAACCACAGUGAGAGCCAUUAUCUACAAAUGGCGAAAACAUGGAACAGUGGUGAACCUUCCAAGGAGUGACCAGCCAACCAAAAUGACCCCAAGAGCACAGUGACGACUCAUCCAAGAGGUCACAAAAGACACUACAACAACAUCCAAAGAACUGCAGGCCUCACUUGCCACAGUUAAGUUUUGCCAGAAAACAUCUUGAUGAUCCCCAAGACCUUUGGGAAAAUACUCUGUGGUCUGACGAAACAAAAGUUGAACUUUUUGGAAGGACCUGGAAGACUUUCCGUGAUAAAUGGAACCAUGAAUUCUGCUGUCUACCGAAAAAUCCUGAAGGAGAAUGUCCGGCCAUCUGUUGGUGACCUCAAGCUGAAACCAACUUGGGUUGUGCAGCAGGACAAUGAUCCAAAACACACCAGCCAGUCCACCUCUGAAUGGCUGAAGAAAAACAAAAUGAAGACUUGGAGUGUCCUAGUCCAAGUCCUGACCUGAAUCCUAUUGAGAUGCUGUGGCAUGACCUUAAAAAGGCGCUUCAUGCUGGAAAACCCUCCAAUGUGGCUGAAUGACAACAAUUCUGCAAAGAUGAGUGGGCCAAAAUUCCUCCACAGCGCUGGAAGAGACUCAUUGCAAGUUAUCACAAACGCUUGAUUGCAGUUGUUGCUGCUAAGGGUGGCCCAACCACUUAUUAGGUUUAGGGGGCAAUCACUUUUUAACACUGGGACAUGUAGCUUUGCAUUGUUUUCCUCC
This is a long non-coding RNA of Dunckerocampus dactyliophorus (ringed pipefish), 1746 nucleotides long. RefSeq lists it as uncharacterized. The record is from RefSeq and is a predicted model, not a curated record. The transcript has 3 exons. Lineage: Eukaryota; Metazoa; Chordata; Actinopteri; Syngnathiformes; Syngnathidae.